UCUAAUAUGGCAGAUUAGUGCGGUGGAUUUAAGCUCCAUUUAUAAAGGUUUUCUUUUGUUAGAA
This 64-nucleotide transfer RNA is filed under the name Renocera pallida. Its description in RNAcentral is "tRNA-Leu". It matches the Rfam family "tRNA". Rfam says of the family: Transfer RNA (tRNA) molecules are approximately 80 nucleotides in length. Their secondary structure includes four short double-helical elements and three loops (D, anti-codon, and T loops). The record is from RNAcentral. Lineage: Eukaryota; Metazoa; Arthropoda; Insecta; Diptera; Sciomyzidae.